AUUUUAUUUUUCCCCAAACAGUUUUUCUGGGAGGUCGAGGAGUUAGAGAGUUGUUACGAAGAAUUCCUUCUAUAGAAGGACAAUAAAUAUACAAGCAACAUGUGAAAGUCCUGUUGUGUAUAGGCCAGAGGAAUGUGGAAUAUGCGUACUGACGGGGUGUUUGGAGCCCAAGGGAGGACAACUGAGGAAAGAGGCUGGACUGAUGGAAAUGCUCUUCCCUACAGGAGAAAAAUACAUUGAAGAUAUUUUUUUCUGAAAAAUUGAUAUUCUGACCAGCUUCCAUUUAUUUGAUCAGCCCUCGUAUUGAGGUCUUGGCAAGAGCCAGAAGAGGAAAGUUGCAUUUUAUGGAGGAAAAUGAGGUUAGGUAGGUGAAACUUUUUUUAAAUUGUAAUGGGAAAGGAGGUGAAGCAAUUGACGGUUAAGAAGAAGAGCUGGCAGUUUGACUUGUUUCA
This 452-nucleotide long non-coding RNA is filed under the name Manacus vitellinus (golden-collared manakin). RNAcentral's name for it is "lncRNA (ENSMVIG00005015449.1)". The record is from RNAcentral. Lineage: Eukaryota; Metazoa; Chordata; Aves; Passeriformes; Pipridae.